UGCGUAGGCGGCUUUGUAGGUGGGGUGUGAAAGCCCACGGCUCAACCGUGGAAUUGCGCUCCAAACCACAAGGCUUGAGGGAGACAGAGGUGAGCGGAACUGAUGGUGGAGCGGUGAAAUGCGUUGAUAUCAUCAGGAACACCCGUGGCGAAGGCGGCUCACUGGGUCUCUUCUGACGCUGAGGCACGAAAGCUAGGGGAGCGAACG
Molecule: ribosomal RNA, 207 nt
Filed under: uncultured bacterium
Lineage: Bacteria
Description: partial 16S ribosomal RNA
Rfam family: Bacterial small subunit ribosomal RNA
Source: RNAcentral